GAUUUCCCAUUCCGCAAGGAAGUAAGAUCCCUGAAAGAUGAUCAGGUUGAUAGGUCUGAGGUGGAAGUGUGGCGACACAUGGAGCUGACAGAUACUAAUCGAUCGAGGACUUAACCAC
This 118-nucleotide ribosomal RNA is filed under the name Bacillus inaquosorum. Its description in RNAcentral is "partial 23S ribosomal RNA". It matches the Rfam family "Bacterial large subunit ribosomal RNA", at positions 2808 to 2925 of the family's 2925-position model. The record is from RNAcentral. RNAcentral also lists the same sequence under 1 other name. Lineage: Bacteria; Bacillati; Bacillota; Bacilli; Caryophanales; Bacillaceae.